UUGUUUGAUACGAUCAAAU
RNAcentral lists this small nuclear RNA (19 nucleotides) under Arabidopsis thaliana (thale cress). RNAcentral's name for it is "snRNA_15182". The record is from RNAcentral. Lineage: Eukaryota; Viridiplantae; Streptophyta; Magnoliopsida; Brassicales; Brassicaceae.